GCAAGCCGAGUAGAGUGGCGAAAGGGUGAGUAAUGCAUAGAUAACCUACCCUCAGGACCGGAAUAACCGCUGGAAACGGCGGCUAAUGCCGGAUGGUCUGGUUGGGCGGCAUCGCCUGACCAGUAAAUGGUUGCUUCCGGGCUUCUGCCGGAGGAGGGGUCUAUGUCCUAUUAGCUAGUUGGUGAGGUAACGGCUCACCAAGGCGACGAUGGGUAGCCGGACUGAGAGGUUGGCCGGCCACACUGGGACUGAGACACUGCCCAGACUCCUACGGGAGGCUGCAGUCGAGAAUCUUCUGCAAUGGACGCAAGUCUGACAGGGCGACGCCGCGUGCAGGAUGAAGGCCUUCGGGUUGUAAACUGCUGUUGCACCUUACGAACCCCCGAGAGUGAAUAGCUCUUCGGGAUGACCAGGGUGUGAGGAAGCACAGGCUAACUCCGUGCCAGCAGCCGCGGUAAUACGGAGUGUGCAAGCGUUACUCGGAAUCACUGGGCAUAAAGCGCGCGUAGGCGGGCUUUCAAGUCGGUUGUGAAAUCCCUCAGCUCAACUGAGGAACUGCAUCCGAUACUGUUUGUCUUGAGGACGAGAGGGGAGAGUGGAACUUCUGGUGGAGCGGUGAAAUGCGUAGAUAUCAGAAGGAACGCCGGUGGCGAAAGCGACUCUCUGGCUCGUAUCUGACGCUG
Molecule: ribosomal RNA, 683 nt
Filed under: uncultured Planctomycetota bacterium
Lineage: Bacteria; Pseudomonadati; Planctomycetota
Description: bacterial SSU rRNA
Rfam family: Bacterial small subunit ribosomal RNA
Source: RNAcentral